GCCCGGUUAGCCCAGUUGGUUAGAGCGCUUCCUUGACAUGGAAGAGGUCAGAGGUUCGAGUCCCCUACCGGGCACCA
Molecule: transfer RNA, 77 nt
Filed under: Elusimicrobiota bacterium
Lineage: Bacteria; Pseudomonadati; Elusimicrobiota
Description: Elusimicrobia bacterium (microbial mat metagenome) tRNA-Val
Rfam family: tRNA
About the family: Transfer RNA (tRNA) molecules are approximately 80 nucleotides in length. Their secondary structure includes four short double-helical elements and three loops (D, anti-codon, and T loops).
Source: RNAcentral